GCCAAUGCCCUCUGGGCUCUCUGGUGAAUCAUGAUAACUGCUCGAAUCGCAGGGCCUCGUGCCGGCGAUGGUUCAUUCAAAUUUCUUCCCUAUCAACUUUCGAUGUUUGGGUAUUGGCCAAACAUGGUUACAACGGGUAACGGAGGGUUAGGGCUCGACCCCGGAGAAGGAGCCUGAGAAACGGCUACUACAUCCAAGGAAGGCAGCAGGCGCGCAAAUUACCCAAUCCCGACACGGGGAGGUAGUGACAAUAAAUACUGAUACAGGGCUCUUUCGGGUCUUGUAAUUGGAAUGAGUACAAUUUAAAUCCCUUAACAAGGAACAAUUGGAGGGCAAGUCUGGUGCCAGCAGCCGCGGUAAUUCCAGCUCCAAUAGCGUAUAUUAAAGUUGUUGUGGUUAAAAAGCUCGUAGUUGACCCUUGGGCCUGGCUGGCCGGUCCGCCUCACCGCGUGUACUGGUCCGGCCGGGCCUUUCCCUCUGUGGAACCCCAUGCCCUUCACUGGUCGUGGCGGGGAAACAGGACUUUUACUUUGAAAAAAUUAGAGUGCUCCAGGCAGGCCUAUGCUCGAAUACAUUAGCAUGGAAUAAUAGAAUAGGACGUGCGGUUCUAUUUUGUUGGUUUCUAGGACCGCCGUAAUGAUUAAUAGGGACAGUCGGGGGCAUCAGUAUUCAAUUGUCAGAGGUGAAAUUCUUGGAUCUAUUGAAGACUAACUACUGCGAAAGCAUUUGCCAAGGAUGUUUUCAUUAAUCAAGAACGAAAGUUAGGGGAUCGAAGACGAUCAGAUACCGUCGUAGUCCUGACCGUAAACUAUGCCGACUAGGGAUCGGACGAUGUUAUUUUUUGACUCGUUCGGCACCUUACGAGAAAUCAAAGUGCUUGGGCUC
This 885-nucleotide ribosomal RNA is filed under the name Polycephalomyces formosus. Its description in RNAcentral is "SSU rRNA". It matches the Rfam family "Eukaryotic small subunit ribosomal RNA", at positions 221 to 1114 of the family's 1831-position model. The record is from RNAcentral. Lineage: Eukaryota; Fungi; Ascomycota; Sordariomycetes; Hypocreales; Polycephalomycetaceae.